GCUGGGCAUUGUGGCAGGCCCUGUAGUCCCAGCUACUUGGGAGGCUGAGGCAGGAGACUCGCUUGAGCCCAGGAGUUGGAGGUCGCUGUGAGCUGUGAUGCCAUGGCACUCUACCCAGGGGGACAGCUUGAGGCUCUGUCUCAAAAAAAAAAAAAGAAAUGCUAGAGAAAAAGAAACUGAACAAGAAGCUAGGAUCUUUUUUUUUUUUUUUUUUUUUUGAGACAGAGCCUCAAGCUGUCCCCCUGGGCAGAGUGCCCUGGCAUUACAGCUCACAGCAACCUCCAAC
This 286-nucleotide small RNA is filed under the name Otolemur garnettii (small-eared galago). Its description in RNAcentral is "Metazoan signal recognition particle RNA (ENSOGAG00000026736.1)". Lineage: Eukaryota; Metazoa; Chordata; Mammalia; Primates; Galagidae. The record is from RNAcentral.